GAUGAAGAACGUAGCGAAAGGCGAUAAGUAAUGUGAAUUACAGAAUUCAGUGAAUCAUCGAAUCUUUGAACGCACAUUGCGCCCCCUGGUAUUCCGGGGGGCAUGCCUGUUCGAGCGUCAUUUCACCACUCAAGCCUCGCUUGGUAUUGGGCAACGCGGUCCGCCGCGUGCCUCAAAUCGACCGGCUGGGUCUUCUGUCCCCUAAGCGUUGUGGAAACUAUUCGCUAAAGGGUGUUCGGGAGGCUACGCCGUAAAACAACCCCAUUUCUAAGGUUGACCUCGGAUCAGGUAGGGAUACCCGCUGAACUUAAGCAUAUCAAUAAGCGGAGGA
This 331-nucleotide unclassified non-coding RNA is filed under the name soil metagenome. RNAcentral describes it as "partial contains 5.8S ribosomal RNA, internal transcribed spacer 2, and large subunit ribosomal RNA". The stretch from base 1 to 120 matches the Rfam family "5.8S ribosomal RNA", at positions 35 to 154 of the family's 154-position model. The record is from RNAcentral.